This 268-nucleotide ribosomal RNA is filed under the name uncultured prokaryote. Its description in RNAcentral is "partial 16S ribosomal RNA". It matches the Rfam family "Bacterial small subunit ribosomal RNA", at positions 509 to 776 of the family's 1533-position model. The record is from RNAcentral.
CAGCAGCCGCGGUAAUACGUAGGGGGCAAGCGUUGUCCGGAUUUAUUGGGCGUAAAGAGCGUGUAGGCGGCCGCACAGGUCCGUUGUGAAAACUGGAGGCUUAACCUUCAGACGUCGAUGGAAACCGUGCGGCUAGAGUCCGGAAGAGGAGAAUGGAAUUCCUGGUGUAGCGGUGAAAUGCGCAGAUAUCAGGAAGAACACCCGUGGCUAAGGCGGUUCUCUAGUACGGUACUGACGCUGAGACGCGAAAGCGUGGGGAGCGAACAGG